This 89-nucleotide small RNA is filed under the name Marmota monax (woodchuck). Lineage: Eukaryota; Metazoa; Chordata; Mammalia; Rodentia; Sciuridae. The record is from RNAcentral.
GCUGGGCUUGGUGGUGCAUGCCUGUAAUCCCAGCAGCUCAGGAGGCUGAGGCAGGAUGAUGGCUACUUUAAAGCCAGGCUCAGCAAUUU